This 1312-nucleotide ribosomal RNA is filed under the name Escherichia coli. Its description in RNAcentral is "partial 23S ribosomal RNA". It matches the Rfam family "Bacterial large subunit ribosomal RNA", at positions 1410 to 2705 of the family's 2925-position model. Lineage: Bacteria; Pseudomonadati; Pseudomonadota; Gammaproteobacteria; Enterobacterales; Enterobacteriaceae. The record is from RNAcentral.
CGUAGUCGAUGGGAAACAGGUUAAUAUUCCUGUACUUGGUGUUACUGCGAAGGGGGGACGGAGAAGGCUAUGUUGGCCGGGCGACGGUUGUCCCGGUUUAAGCGUGUAGGCUGGUUUUCCAGGCAAAUCCGGAAAACCAAGGCUGAGGCGUGAUGACGAGGCACUACGGUGCUGAAGCGACAAAUGCCCUGCUUCCAGGAAAAGCCUCUAAGCAUCAGGUAACAUCAAAUCGUACCCCAAACCGACACAGGUGGUCAGGUAGAGAAUACCAAGGCGCUUGAGAGAACUCGGGUGAAGGAACUAGGCAAAAUGGUGCCGUAACUUCGGGAGAAGGCACGCUGAUAUGUAGGUGAAGCGACUUGCUCGUGGAGCUGAAAUCAGUCGAAGAUACCAGCUGGCUGCAACUGUUUAUUAAAAACACAGCACUGUGCAAACACGAAAGUGGACGUAUACGGUGUGACGCCUGCCCGGUGCCGGAAGGUUAAUUGAUGGGGUUAGCGGCAACGCGAAGCUCUUGAUCGAAGCCCCGGUAAACGGCGGCCGUAACUAUAACGGUCCUAAGGUAGCGAAAUUCCUUGUCGGGUAAGUUCCGACCUGCACGAAUGGCGUAAUGAUGGCCAGGCUGUCUCCACCCGAGACUCAGUGAAAUUGAACUCGCUGUGAAGAUGCAGUGUACCCGCGGCAAGACGGAAAGACCCCGUGAACCUUUACUAUAGCUUGACACUGAACAUUGAGCCUUGAUGUGUAGGAUAGGUGGGAGGCUUUGAAGUGUGGACGCCAGUCUGCAUGGAGCCGACCUUGAAAUACCACCCUUUAAUGUUUGAUGUUCUAACGUUGGCCCCUAAUCGGGGUUGCGGACAGUGUCUGGUGGGUAGUUUGACUGGGGCGGUCUCCUCCUAAAGAGUAACGGAGGAGCACGAAGGUUGGCUAAUCCUGGUCGGACAUCAGGAGGUUAGUGCAAUGGCAUAAGCCAGCUUGACUGCGAGCGUGACGGCGCGAGCAGGUGCGAAAGCAGGUCAUAGUGAUCCGGUGGUUCUGAAUGGAAGGGCCAUCGCUCAACGGAUAAAAGGUACUCCGGGGAUAACAGGCUGAUACCGCCCAAGAGUUCAUAUCGACGGCGGUGUUUGGCACCUCGAUGUCGGCUCAUCACAUCCUGGGGCUGAAGUAGGUCCCAAGGGUAUGGCUGUUCGCCAUUUAAAGUGGUACGCGAGCUGGGUUUAGAACGUCGUGAGACAGUUCGGUCCCUAUCUGCCGUGGGCGCUGGAGAACUGAGGGGGGCUGCUCCUAGUACGAGAGGACCGGAGUGGACGCA